GCGUUCAUUAGAGCCUGGUUGCAGUCGUGAGAAAUUAAUUAAUACAUUUAACACAGUAAAUUAACAUGCUUUACACCUUUAUUUUCACAUUGCUGAUACCAUCAACUCUCGCAUACACAGUAAAAGUGAAAGGCACUAUUGAACUUGGUGACCAGAUAGCCGACAUAUUAAAAGAGUUCAAGGACCGAUUUGUCAGACAAAUGGAAGACUUACCUUCAAUAAAUAACGUUAAAACUGUGUCGGUACCUGUUGCUGAGAACAGCGAUGGUAUGCCUCAGCCUCGAGACGUCCCAUUUCUGAACGAUAUUCCAAUAAUGGAGAACACACAAGAAAAGGAUGUUAGCGUAGAAUCUAUUGAUGUCCCGUUGCUGGAUGAGAUAGUAAGCAAAAAAGAAGGUCGAGUGCAUAUUUAUGGGAAUCACAAAAAUAGUAAGGCUAGAAGACCACACGAACCCUUAAACAAUAUCGUUGUGUAAGUGACCUGAAACGUUUAACAAAUAAAACAAUGAUCAUU
This is a long non-coding RNA of Ostrinia nubilalis (European corn borer), 514 nucleotides long. RefSeq lists it as uncharacterized. The record is from RefSeq and is a predicted model, not a curated record. Lineage: Eukaryota; Metazoa; Arthropoda; Insecta; Lepidoptera; Crambidae. The transcript has 2 exons.